RNAcentral lists this microRNA (24 nucleotides) under Populus trichocarpa (black cottonwood). RNAcentral describes it as "ptc-miR474c". Its record names the gene ptc-miR474c. The record is from miRBase by way of RNAcentral. Lineage: Eukaryota; Viridiplantae; Streptophyta; Magnoliopsida; Malpighiales; Salicaceae.
CAAAAGCUGUUGGGUUUGGCUGGG